UUCUGAUCAUAUGUCAGAAGGAGGAUCAUCUGCUGUGGGUGUUCCUGAUCUUUGAGCCAUGAUAAUGUUACUGGUUGGAUGUCAGGAGCAGGCCAUGUGGAUGAUUAAAAGAUGAAUAUCAUAUACAGCAUGGAUAUGUUGGACAAAAAGAUGAUUCACAUCCCAGACAGAAUGGAGCAGCACAUUUAUUAAAAGCCAGAAGCUAGAAGACGAGGAAAGAAGAGGUGGUUAAAGAAAGAUACAGUAACAGCAGUAAUAUCUAACAGGAAGGCUACAGGGGAAAAUACAGAAAUUCCAUAAAGAACAAACACUGUAACUCAAAACCAAAGCUUUGCUAGUCACUAGUGCCCGCUACAUCCUAACAGAGACAGGGUCACCCUUUGUUGUCCACGCUGGGGUGCUGUGGCUAUUCACAGGCGUAAUCAUAGCUCACUGCAGUCUCCAACUCCUGGCCUCAAGCUGUCCUCCAGUCUCAGCCUCCAGAGUAGCUGAAACUACAGGUGUCUGCCACUGCCUCCAGCUCCC
RNAcentral lists this long non-coding RNA (525 nucleotides) under Homo sapiens (human). RNAcentral's name for it is "HSALNT0324396". The record is from RNAcentral. Lineage: Eukaryota; Metazoa; Chordata; Mammalia; Primates; Hominidae.